Molecule: long non-coding RNA, 489 nt
Filed under: Homo sapiens (human)
Lineage: Eukaryota; Metazoa; Chordata; Mammalia; Primates; Hominidae
Description: HSALNT0073808
Source: RNAcentral
CAGCUCCCAGCGUGAGCAACGCAGAAGAGGGGUGAUUUCUGCAUUAACAUCUGAGGUCUGCUGGAUUUUGCUGGGGGUCCACUCCAGAAGCUGUUUUCCUGGGUAUCACCAGCAGAGGCUGCAGAACAGCAAAGAUGGCUGCCUGUUCCUUCCUCUGGAAGCUUCAUCCCAGAGGAGCACCCGCCAGAUGCCAGUGGAAUCUCUCCUGCGUGAGGUGUCUGUCAACCCUUGGAAGCACCGGGGUCAGGGACCCAUUUGAGGAGGAAUCUAGAGAGGCAGUCUGUCUACAGCGGUUUUGUCAAAACUCCUUAUUGUUUAACUAAGAAAAAAAAAUCCCCCAAACAGUUUCUGACUUUUGUUUCCUUGGUUCAUCUUCCUCUCAUUGUAUCACAGGGCUACUUGAUUGUAUUUCAGUAUUCAAUUUAUAUAUUUCAUAUUCUGCUGAAUGCAUAGAAUAUAAAUUAAAAAUUCUUUUUCUCAAGCAAGUCA